UACAGAGGGGGCAAGCGUUGUUCGGAAUUACUGGGCGUAAAGGGCGCGUAGGCGGCCUGUUAAGUCGAACGUGAAAUCCCCGGGCUCAACCCGGGAACUGCGUCCGAUACUGGCAGGCUUGAAUUCGGGAGAGGGAUGCAGAAUUCCAGGUGUAGCGGUGAAAUGCGUAGAUAUCUGGAGGAAUACCGGUGGCGAAGGCGGCAUCCUGGACCGGCAUUGACGCUGAGGAGCGAAAGCUAGGGGAGCAAACGGG
RNAcentral lists this ribosomal RNA (253 nucleotides) under uncultured bacterium. RNAcentral describes it as "partial 16S ribosomal RNA". It matches the Rfam family "Bacterial small subunit ribosomal RNA", at positions 524 to 776 of the family's 1533-position model. The record is from RNAcentral.